GCGCAGCAGGCGCGAAACUUUACAAUGUGCGAAGCACGAUAAGGGAACUCUGAGUGCCUCCUAAGGAGGCUGUUCAGGUGUCUAAAAGCACCUGAAGGAAGGGCUGGGUAAGACCGGUGCCAGCCGCCGCGGUAACACCGGCAGCCCAAGUGGUAGCCACGUUUAUUGGGUCUAAAGCGUCCGUAGCCGGCUGGGUAAGUUCCUUGGGAAAUUUGGCUGCUUAACAGUCAAGCUUUCAGGGAAUACUGCCCGGCUUGGGACCGGGAGAGGUCAGAGGUACUCCAGGGGUAGGGUGAAAUCCAUUAAUCCUUGGGGGACCACCGGUAGCGAAGGCGUCUGA
RNAcentral lists this ribosomal RNA (340 nucleotides) under uncultured microorganism. RNAcentral describes it as "bacterial SSU rRNA". It matches the Rfam family "Archaeal small subunit ribosomal RNA", at positions 330 to 679 of the family's 1478-position model. The record is from RNAcentral.